CACGGGGGGAGCAAGCGUUGUUCGGAAUCACUGGGCGUAAAGGGCGUGCAGGCGGUCAGGUAAGUGGGAUGUGAAAUGCCCCGGCUCACCCGGGGACCGGCAUCUCAUACUGCUUGGCCUGAGUACGGGAGAGGAUGUGGGAAUUCCUGGUGUAGCGGUGAAAUGCGUAGAGAUCGGGAGGAACACCGGUGGCGAAGGCGGGUCUCUGGGCAUCUCCUGACGCUGAGGCGCGAAAGCGUGGGGAGCAAACGGG
RNAcentral lists this ribosomal RNA (253 nucleotides) under uncultured bacterium. RNAcentral's name for it is "partial 16S ribosomal RNA". It matches the Rfam family "Bacterial small subunit ribosomal RNA", at positions 524 to 776 of the family's 1533-position model. The record is from RNAcentral.